AGUGGUGUAUGCAGUAUGCACUCCGAACAGGGAAGAGAAGUCAUGGAGUAUUUGACAGCUUGAUAUAGUUGCAUCAGACAGUUUGAAGUAACCUUUGAUGGGGUCUUAUAGAGACAGCUGGCACAGGUUGGAAUUAUGACAUAAUACAGAUUAUGGAUCAUUAAUUGGAAAUAAAUCAGAAAAAGUACUUCAGUUCUUGCUUAGAAGAUCAGUGCCA
Saccostrea echinata is the source of this 217-nucleotide long non-coding RNA. RefSeq lists it as uncharacterized. The transcript has 3 exons. Lineage: Eukaryota; Metazoa; Mollusca; Bivalvia; Ostreida; Ostreidae. The record is from RefSeq and is a predicted model, not a curated record.